GUGGGGAAUAUUGGGCAAUGGGGGAAACCCUGACCCAGCAACGCCGCGUGAGGGAAGAAGGUUUUCGGAUUGUAAACCUCUGUCCUUGGUGACGAAGGAAGUGGCGGUAACCAAGGAGGAAGCCCCGGCUAACUACGUGCCAGCAGCCGCGGUAAUACGUAGGGGGCAAGCGUUGUCCGGAAUGACUGGGCGUAAAGGGCGUGUAGGCGGCCGAUUAAGUCUGGAGUGAAAGUCCUGCUUUCAAGGUGGGAAUUGCUUUGGAGACUGGUUGGCUUGAGUGCGGAAGAGGUAAGUGGAAUUCCCAGUGUAGCGGUGAAAUGCGUAGAGAUUGGGAGGAACACCAGUGGCGAAGGCGACUUACUGGGCCGUAACUGACGCUGAGGCGCGAAAGCGUGGGGAGCGAACAGGAUUAGAAACCCCAGUAGUCC
This 428-nucleotide ribosomal RNA is filed under the name uncultured bacterium. RNAcentral's name for it is "partial 16S ribosomal RNA". It matches the Rfam family "Bacterial small subunit ribosomal RNA", at positions 354 to 796 of the family's 1533-position model. The record is from RNAcentral.